AUGCACGCUAGCGGGAGGCCUCACACAUGCAAGCCGAGCGGUAUUGUUUCUUCGGAAAUGCGAGAGCGGCGUACGGGUGCGUAACACGUGUGCAACCUGCCUUUAUCUGGGGGAUAGCCUUUCGAAAGGAAGAUUAAUACUCCAUAAUAUAUUGAACGGCAUCGUUUAAUAUUGAAAGCUCCGGCGGAUAGAGAUGGGCACGCGCAAGAUUAGCUAGUUGGUGAGGUAACGGCUCACCAAGGCGAUGAUCUUUAGGGGCCUGAGAGGGUGAUCCCCCACACUGGUACUGAGACACGGACCAGACUCCUACGGGAGGCAGCAGUGAGGAAUAUUGGUCAAUGGGUGCAAGCCUGAACCAGCCAUCCCGCGUGAAGGACGACUGCCCUAUGGGUGGUAAACUUCUUUUGUAGAGGGAUAAACCUACCCUCGUGAGGGUAGCUGAAGGUACUAUACGAAUAAGCACCGGCUAACUCCGUG
RNAcentral lists this ribosomal RNA (477 nucleotides) under uncultured bacterium. Its description in RNAcentral is "partial 16S ribosomal RNA". It matches the Rfam family "Bacterial small subunit ribosomal RNA", at positions 29 to 507 of the family's 1533-position model. The record is from RNAcentral.